Diabrotica virgifera virgifera (western corn rootworm) is the source of this 3176-nucleotide long non-coding RNA. RefSeq lists it as uncharacterized. The transcript is spliced from 3 exons. The record is from RefSeq and is a predicted model, not a curated record. NCBI's taxonomy places the organism in Eukaryota, Metazoa, Arthropoda, Insecta, Coleoptera, Chrysomelidae.
UUGACGAAAAAGAAAAUUGUUCUAUUUUUUCAUUUAUUUGGCGUGAAUUCAGUGUCACCAACCUGUGUCCAUUUGGCGGGAAGUGGAAGUAGAGCUGUAGAGCUUUUUGUUUAUUAUUAUUUGUUGAGGUUGAGUCUUUCAUGUUCAUGACAACCUAAAAAUUUUGAUUGGAAAAUGCAUAUAAGAUAAGGGGGUGGAAAAAUGGAAAUUAGUGGCUUUUUUUUGCAGUUCUGUCUGUUAGUUUUGCGUUUUGCUCUGGCUGGGUCUCUUUUGUUUAAACAAUUAUAAUCAGCUGAAAGUGGUCUACAAAAAAACCAGGAAGGAAACGUAUUAUAGCCUUGUUGUGGCUAUGAAAGAUACCUAUAAAAAGUGUAUUGACUAGUUGGAAGAAACUCCACAUUGUCGAUGCAUAAUAAGAUAUUACUUUAUAAACAAAUAUCAAGACCUAGGAAUGGAACCUGGAUAAUAUAGUCAUCAAGAAGAUAGCAGGAAGUCAUGAGCAACAACAACUUCAUAAGUAUGAGAAUAUUGAGGAAAUCCAGCUCCUCAUAUCUACUACUGGACAAACUAGAAGAUUGAAGAGGACAAAGCCUUUUGAACUAGUUUGAGUGAUAGGUGAUAGUGAAAAGCAGAGCGUAGUGCUUGUGUGCCUGUGUAUGUUAGAAUAGUGCACGAUCUUGUUAGAUUAGAUAAGAGACGCUAUGGGGUAAGCUCUUCAUUUUAAGGAACAGUAGUAAUUUAGGUUAAAUUAAAAUUGCUCAUUGGUCAGUUAUGACCAGAUUGUAAUUCUCUGAUGUUUGGCAAAAAGGGCUUAAGUCAGAAUUGCACAUCAAUAAUGUUUUGAUGAUUUCUGGACCAUAAAAAAAGUGUUGCAGACUUAAACUGUAUGUACCAAUAAAAAGAGCCGAUUUUUCUGGUCCAGAAAUCAUCAAAACAUUAUUGAUGUGCAAUUCUGACUUAAGCCCUUUUUCCCAAACAUCAGAGAAUUGCAAUGUACAAUUCAAUACAAAUGAAUCAUCAUCGUAGUGAUGAUUAUGGAAAAAAAUAUAUGACAAGAUUUUGUGCAAUAAAAAUGUUUAUAUUGAUCAAGGAUGUAUUAUUUGGUAUGGCUACAUAUACUUCUGGUAUAUCGUCGGUGAUGUGACAAUACCUCCUAUCUGCUUUUUCAUGAAUUUUGUAGGAGACGAAAAACCAUUUUUAGGGUCAUCUCUGUUUUCACAUGUAAAUUUUGACAUGUUUUGUAGUAAAUAGAUAAUUGAAUUUACUACAAAACAUGUCAAAAAAUAUCAUAUGAAAACAGGAGGUGACUGUAAAAAAAGUUUUUAGUCUCUCUUACAAAACGGUUAACAGAGGUGACAGUUAAUAGAGAGACAGAUAAUCAAGGUUCCACUGUAUAGUGAAAUUUGGACACCCGACACCCCAUACAAAUUUUAUGGGGGUUUUGUUCGUUUAAACCCCCCCAAACUUUUGUGUAAGUUACAAUUGAAUUAUUAUUGUGGUACUAUUAAACACAAUGUUUUUAAAACUUUUUGGCCUCUUAGUACUUUUUUGAAGUCAGUUUUUAUCGUGAUAUUUUGAAUAUUUGUCAAAUCCACCACAUAUUUGUAUAUGGUUAAGUACGAUUGUAGAGACUAAUAAUAUGAAAAUUUAUUUAUGAUUUACAUUUUUAGGUAUAUUUUGAACCAUUUUAAAAAGAAGCCAUAUCUUGAUAAAAAGAGCUUUAUCGAAAAAAUAGAAAGAGGUAAAAAAGUUUUAAAAACACAGUGUUUAACUAAUGGUACCGCAGAAAUAAUUUAAUUGGAACGUACCCAAAAGUUUGGGGGGGUUAAAGGGAACAAAACCCCCAUAAAAUUUUUAUGGGGUGCACAAAUUUCACUAUAAUUUUUCUUUAAGAUGUUACUGCAAUAAUAUUCUUUCAUGUCCAUUUUCAAUAAAAAAUCUUUAAUAGUUUUCGAUAUAUUCGAAAAAAUCAAUUUUUAUUUUGUAUCUUCAAAGGGCUGUAACUUUUUUUGUGUGCAUAUUUGUACUAAGGUAAGUUAGGUUCAUUCAAAUUAUUUUUGGUCCCAGAAUAUGUGAUUUAAUUUACGACCAAUCUUUUCGGGACACCCUGUAUAAUAAAUGGGAUUAGCUGGCUUAAAAAUUCAUAAUCUACGUUCUGUAGAAAAUAUCCAGUUUUUGGUUUCUUUUUAACUAGAUCUUAAUAUAUAACCAAGCAUUUUAAGACCUUUUUAUUAAUUUUUCGAUGAUAUAUUCGUGUUUUUAGUUUGUUCAAAAUAUUCUAGAUCAGCGGUUCUCAAUCUUUUUGAGUCAGGUACCACCAAAUACGUUUUAUUAUUUUUGGUACCAUCUAACUAAAAUACCUAUCUAGCUAGGUGAUCUAAUUAACUAUAAUUGUGCCAAUAGCGGUGCUGAUUUUGGCUGUAUUGAGUUUUGUGUACCACCUCAAAUAGUGAAAUGUACCACCAGUGGUACAUGUACCACAGAUUGAGAACCGCUGUUCUAGAUGAUUGUACACUAUAAUAGAUAGCCAACUAAAUAAACACAAAAAUUUUAUUUUUGUUACAGCCUGUAUAUAAGUUUACCUAUAUAUACAGUGCAUUACGCACCACCUUAAAAAUUGGGCAUUUUUGAUGUCUCGAAUUUCCUAAACCUGUUGUCCCAUCUAAGUGAUUUUUUUAUAAUAAUAUAGCCUGAGGCUAUAGGUUACUGCCUUAUGCUUGUCAUGCACGGGGAGCUAUACUGUAAUAUAUAUUAUAUCACAUCGCUCUCUAUAGUAAUGAGUAAUGAGUGAGACUGCACAUACGGAACCAUUAGUUCCCUGUCUGCAGGCUCACUCAUUACUAUAGAGAGCGAUAUGAUAUAAUAUACAUAUAUUACAGUAUAGCUCCCAGUGCAUGACAAGCUUAAGGAUGUAACCUAUAGCCUAGGCUAUAUUAUAAAAAAAUCACUCAGAUGGGACAACAGGUUUAGAAAAUUCGAGACAUCAAAAAUGCCCUAUUUUUAAGGUGGUGCGUUAAUUUCUUGGAGAAGUGUAUUGUAAUUUAAUGUAAAUAAUGUAAUAUCUAAUAAUUGUAAUUUAAUAUAAGAUGUAAUAUAAGUUCCUUAAAAAUUUAUUUUUUAUUUCCCACCAUACAUUCUCCACAGGUCUAAAUAUCGAUGCUAGACGUCCACAGGAG